This 459-nucleotide ribosomal RNA is filed under the name uncultured bacterium. Its description in RNAcentral is "partial 16S ribosomal RNA". It matches the Rfam family "Bacterial small subunit ribosomal RNA", at positions 338 to 795 of the family's 1533-position model. The record is from RNAcentral.
CCUACGGGAGGCAGCAGUGAGGAAUAUUGGUCAAUGGUCGGGAGACUGAACCAGCCAAGCCGCGUGAGGGAUGAAGGUACAGAGUAUCGUAAACCUCUUUUGUCAGGGAACAAAGGCGGGGCCGUGUCCCCGGAUGAGUGUACCUGAAGAAAAGGCAUCGGCUAACUCCGUGCCAGCAGCCGCGGUAAUACUGAGGAUGCGAGGGUUAUCCGGUUUUAUUGGGUUUAAAGGGUGCGCAGGCGGUCUGUUAAGUCAGCGGUCAAAGCCCGGGGCUCACCCCCGGCCCGCCGUUGAAACUGGCAGUCGCGAGUUGGAGAGAAGUAUGCGGAAUGCGCGGUGUAGCGGUGAAAUGCAUAGAUAUCGCGCAGAACUCCGAUUGCGAAGGCAGCAUGCCGGCUCCACACUGACGCUGAGGCACGAAAGCGUGGGUAUCGAACAGGAUUAGAUACCCCAGUAGUC